Molecule: long non-coding RNA, 565 nt
Organism: Tympanuchus pallidicinctus (lesser prairie-chicken)
Lineage: Eukaryota; Metazoa; Chordata; Aves; Galliformes; Phasianidae
Exons: 2
Source: RefSeq, a predicted model, not a curated record
CUGCAAAACCCACCUACCUCUUUGCCAUCAACCUUAGUGCAACCACAGUGCAGAGCAACACUAGGCUUACAGUAAAAUCUGAGCUUUAUUUGUACUUUAAAUUCUGUAGGGGAUGCAAUAUAUUCCAACUCAAUAUGAUGGUGGAAUACUUCAUGUCUUUUUCAGUCUUGGGUACACGGUUUAUGGCUAGCUGGCUGCUUCUAGGGUGCAAAUUGCCAUCUCCCUGAUGGGAGCUGGGAUUAGAUGAGAGCAGACCUGCCAAGAGCUGUGUAGUUCAUCAACAAAGAAGUGCUUUAUCAAAACAUCUUUCUUACACUGUUUACAUUAGAAAGAAGAUGUCAGGUUGUCCUACAGAAUCCUGCAUCAUAGGAUGCCACUGACCGUGGCAGUGCAUCAUUGUUGGUAUGCUGCUGAGCCCACAUCCUCCAAGCCUAGAGGCAAACUCCUCUGGCAGAUUCCCAAAGGGGGAGGCAGUGAUGCCCAUGAUCCCUGAUUCCUGUGCUACUGAAUCAAACACAGCAUUUGUGCACUGUAUAAAAACCUCUGCAUCUAUCUGUAUACAACA